Molecule: ribosomal RNA, 440 nt
Filed under: uncultured bacterium
Lineage: Bacteria
Description: bacterial SSU rRNA
Rfam family: Bacterial small subunit ribosomal RNA
Source: RNAcentral
AACGCGAAGAACCUUACCUGGAUUUGACAUCCUCUGACAGCCCUAGAAGUAGGGUCUUGUAGCAAUACACAGAGAGACAGGUGCUGCAUGGCUGUCGUCAGCUCGUAUCGUGAGAUGUCGGGUUAAGUCCCUUAACGAGCGCAACCCUUAUCCCUAGUUGCCAUCAUUUAGUUGGGCACUCUAUGGAGACUGCCGGUGUUAAACCGGAGGAAGGCGGGGAUGACGUCAAGUCCUCAUGGCCUUUAUAUCCAGGGCCACACACGUGCUACAAUGGCCGGUACAAAGGGAUGCCAACGCGCGAGCGGGAGCUAAUCUCAUAAAGCCGGUCUCAGUUCGGAUUGAAGUCUGCAACUCGACUUCAUGAAGCUGGAAUCGCUAGUAAUCGCGGAUCAGAACGCCGCGGUGAAUACGUUCCCGGGCCUUGUACACACCGAGACGUA